Long non-coding RNA from Motacilla alba alba, 2675 nucleotides. RefSeq lists it as uncharacterized. The transcript is spliced from 5 exons. The record is from RefSeq and is a predicted model, not a curated record. NCBI's taxonomy places the organism in Eukaryota, Metazoa, Chordata, Aves, Passeriformes, Motacillidae.
CACUAGGAUAAGACAAAAUUCAGUUACGUGAUGGAUUUAGCUGAGCUAUAAAUUCUAGUCCCACUCAUUCUGAAAUCAGUCAUGAUUGUGAUUUUGCUGAAUUGUUAUGAUUAAUGAAUGUCUGUAGUGUAGCAGAUUUAAGUCUACAGGACCUUGGCUUUUUUGUCCUUGUGUCUUAGACAGACCCAUUAAAAACAGCGUACAGAUUUUUGCAGCAUUUGAGGGCCAUAAGCUGGGGAACAAACCUAGCCUUGAAUUUGCAUAUUUGUUUAGUUCUGUCCCCUCAUUUGUUAGGAGGUGGGAGAUUACCAGACUGUAGAAGUUCAAGUUUAUCCUUUUUAUAUGAACUUAAGUCUCCUAUGUAACAGAUGCCACCCUUGGCCAGCACAGCGCUGCAGGCUUGAAUGCUGGCACUUCCAGUUCCAUGCGUAUCUUUGGACACAGAAGGAAAAAUGUCGCUGGAAGACUCAGCAAUAUUGCAAGUUUAAGAGUAUUGUAAGUGCCCGGUGGAACAACUUGAGAAGCAAAGAUGUUGGCCAGGACAGCAGAAAACCUCCAGCAUGAACUUGAAGUCAGUGAGAGCAGAUACUUAAAAUUGUCACUGACAAAAGAAGGACCUAAUGGAAACAAAGUACAGGUGAACAAACACAUCAAAGAGACCUAUGCAGAUGAGCCUCCCUUACAUAUUCGCUAAAAGAAUCCAUCCAAUUUAUUGUGUUUGGCCACGAGAUGGCAGAGCUUCCCACUUCCUACAUUCCCAAGAUGAAGAGCUUGGCCAGGCUUUCUUGAGGAGUGAGCCACUGCGGCUUCUGCCUGGCGUGGGAAUGACAUGGGAUACGAGUAGUCACUAUUAGAGAAGAAGCAAAAACCAGCCUUACAAGUACUUAGGGCCUCUCUGCAAUGGGGCAAGCAGUUCAGGAAUACUGCUCAAAGCAGCAGUUCCACAGAAGUCAACUGCUCAUCAAAGCACCACUUGUUCUAUGCAAGAAGCUUUUGCCAGCCACUUAAACACAUUGUCCUGCGGUAUUUUUUAAUAGACAAACAGUUUCCGAGAAAAAGGAUCCAUCUUCCAAGAUUUCUGCACACUUUAUCCAGCUGUGGGAAUAAACCAUGAAGAAAUGACAGUAGCACUGGCCAUGCUAUAACAGUAAUAAUAAAGGUACAUACUAACAAAGCCACACAAAAUUGAAAUAGUCUCUUUUUCAAGCUAGGUGAUUCUUAAAGGAUUUUUAAAAUUCAGUUCAAAGCUCUUUCCAAUGACUGACACAUACUCUAUUUCUAGAGUAAAUUUCUGAGGAAUGCUCUGGUGUUUUCUUUUCCUUGGUGAAUUAUUUCACUCUCCUAAUUCCCUAACCCAUGAAAUUAAAGUCUCUGUUUAAUUUAACCUCCCUUGUAGAUUUUGUAAUCAGUCUAUCAAAAGUAAGACUUAAAAUUUCAUCUCCCAUAUUUUAGAAGUCUGAUAGCUUUUGAAAGUGUGAAACUGGGCAACAUCCCUUUUCUUAAAAUCUGACUUUCCUACCCUGCUGUGAUCUCCUGUAGCACCCACUUAAGGAGCUGAUCUUGCACUUAUUUCCAUGCAGGUACACAGUCGUUCAGUGCUGAUUCCCACUAGCAAAGCUUUAACAACUCUAGAUUUGGUUUGGAGGCUGACCUUGCUCUUUAGUGUGGUUUUCAAUGUGUAUUACCCACAUCCCUUUCAAUUUUUUUUUUUUUUAAGAGUAGAGUCUUGUACCAUGAAGCACUACUUUGCAGAAUUUAGAAGGAGAAUUAUUAAGGCAAAAUAUGGUAUUUUGUAUAUAUGCAUCUGUUUCAAUAGCUUUCAUAUUUUCUUCUGCAAAAUGUCCUUAGUUCUCUCUGUAGAAUGAAUAUGAAAUAUUCAUUUCAAUGUGAAACAACACUCGAAUCUUCAAAAAUAAGACUUAGCUACCUGGUAAAGGAUAGGACAUGGAAUUACUGAGCUGAUGAGGGAUCAAAGCUCACAGCAUAUGAGAGAUUCCCUGCAGGAGUUCACAGAAAUGACUUUGGGAGGACAAACAGAUCAACAUCCAAGAGGAGUAGCUGGAUUCCAGCACAACUUGUGUGUGGCAGCAGCGUAAACCCUGUGGCCCGAGACCUGUACACUGUGGGCUGAAACGUGUUUAAUGCCUGAAGUAACAAAGGCACAAGUUAAAAGACAAUUUGUAAGAGGGAUUUCCACCCCCCGCCUCACCCCCACCCUGUGUCUUUGGGAUUACUCCUGCAUGAUUAUUACUCCAUCCCUUGAAGUAUUCAGCAAGAAGGGCUUAAAGAAAUGUACACACAUGGAUCCACUGUACCUCCCUGGAUCCUGUAUUACCAGGGCUGGACGCGCAGGGCACCACAUAUGAUAGGGAGGACUGAGCUACGGCCCCACUGAUUGUGCACUGAGCAGCCGGCACCUAAGCUGCGCAAAAUAAAGCCUGACCAAGGUGAUGGUGUUCACCAGUGUCCCCACAGCCAGCUAACCCCACUCCAGGUGUGGCUCGGCACAUCAGCAUCUCCUGCCUGGCUUCAGCUUCCAUGCCAUCGGCACCCCUGCCUCACAGACCUCCCCACCAGUUGUUCACCAGGCUUUCUGCGCCCCGUCCUCCCCCGGCGCUGCUGGGUCGGCAGCAGCGGGCACCGCGGGGCCCGGGCUGCCCUCAGCCCCGCGGGGC